AUUGAACGCUGGCGGCAUGCCUUACACAUGCAAGUUGAACGGCAGCACGGACUUUGGUUUGGUGGCGAGUGGCGAACGGGUGAGUAAUGUAUUGGAACGUGCCUGGUAGUGGGGGAUAACUAGUUGAAAGAUUAGCUAAUUCCGCAUACGACCUAAGGGUGAAAGCAGGGGACCUUUGGGCCUUGUGCUAUCAGAGCGGCCGAUAUUUGAUUAGCUAGUUGGUGGGGUAAAGGCCCCCCAAGGCGACGAUCAGUAGCUGGUUUGAGAGAACGACCAGCCCCACUGGAAAUGAGACACGGUCCAGACUCCUACGGGAGGCAGCAGUGGGGAAUAUUGGACAAUGGGGGCAACCCUGAUCCAGCCAUGCCGCGUGUGUGAAGAAGGCCCUCGGGUUGUAAAGCACUUUAAGCGGGGAGGAAGGCCUGAUGGUUAAUACCCAUUGGGAUUGACGUUAACGGGAGAAUAAGCACCGGCAAACUUCGUG
Molecule: ribosomal RNA, 484 nt
Filed under: uncultured bacterium
Lineage: Bacteria
Description: bacterial SSU rRNA
Rfam family: Bacterial small subunit ribosomal RNA
Source: RNAcentral